This 439-nucleotide long non-coding RNA is filed under the name Homo sapiens (human). Its description in RNAcentral is "non-protein coding lnc-CLEC2D-8:14". The record is from RNAcentral. Lineage: Eukaryota; Metazoa; Chordata; Mammalia; Primates; Hominidae.
AUAAAACUCUGCAAAGACAAUGUCUAGCACUUAUAUCUCCAGUAACUCCUGUCAAGGUUUAUUGUUGCUUGUUCAUCAUUGCAGUCCUGACUACAAGUGUGAUUGCACUUUCUAUUGUUUUGUCAGGCAUAAGAAAUUAGACAUUGAGUCAAACGUUCUGUGUCUCAUUAGAAGCCAGCCUUGCUCAGUUUGCAACUAUGGAGGAACUGAAUUUCCUGAAAAGAUACAAAGGCCCUUCUGACCAUUGGAUUGGCCUUAGAAGAGAAUCAUCCCAUCGCAUUUGGAAAUGGACAGACAACAUGGAAUAUAAUAACAUGCUUGCUAUCAGAGGAAGUGGAGAAUGUGCCUUCCUGAAUGACAAUGGAGUCAACAGUGGCAGAAUCUACAUGAACAGAAAAUGGAUUUGUAGCAAGCCAAACAAUUAUGUCUACAGUUGCCA